GCGCUAGUGGUUUAGUGGUAAAAUCCAUCGUUGCCAUCGAUGGGCCCUGGGUUCGAUUCCCAGCUAGCGCA
Molecule: transfer RNA, 71 nt
Rfam family: tRNA
About the family: Transfer RNA (tRNA) molecules are approximately 80 nucleotides in length.
Source: Rfam